ACUCAGAAUAAAUGAAAAUUUGUUGCAACAUCUCGCACCCGAUGGCUCCACACGAAUCUCGGGAGCGGCCGCCCGCCCUCGAUUCCUUCUCCCCACACCACGCGAUCGCGCCGCGGUCGCGAAGAAACCUCCCCUUUCCGUCUUCCCCAAGCCACCUUUCCCGUGACGGCACUUAGACCUGAAGGAUCGGACCGUCGAUCGAUCGAUCGAUCGUUGUGGAGGAGGAGGAGGAGGAAGAGGGUUUCCGCACCGCAGCGUUGGCCGAGAUAAGUUUUCGCCUCGUUCCUUUUUCUCGUAAUCUCCGUGAAACUGUUAGGGCUGCGUUGAUUCCUAAGGCGCUUCGAGUAGAUCUCAUCUCCGUUAGCAUUUGGUGGUUGUUUUGGUUGGUUAGAGAAGGAGAGGUGGACUCCCUGUCGCAGGAUUAGGGUUUCUCUACCUCCUUGAUAAUUGGAAAUGGGCAAGCCUACUGCAAAGAAAACCAAGGGUUCAGGCAGGAGAGUUACUAAUCCCAAAUCCAAGCAUAACAGAUCGAGCGAGCACGCUCCUACAAUCUUCCAAGAAGACACGCAAGUCUUUGUCCAUAUGGCGCAGGGUUUGAAAGAGGAGGGCAACAGAUUGUUCCAUUCAAGGGGCUAUGAAGGGGCUCUGGUCAAGUAUGAGAAUGCUAUCAAGUUGCUUCCGAAGAACCAUGCCGACCCAGUGUACCGCCACUACAACAGGGCUGCUUGUUAUAUGCAGUUGACUCCGGGCCUCCGGCGGACCAUCCCCGAGCAAUAACGGAGUGUGAUCUAGCCCUCGAGGCAUCGCCAAAGUACAUUAAAGUCCUACUUAGAAGGGGGAGGUGUUAAGGAUUUGAAUCAAUUAGAAUUGGCAUGUAAAUAUAUCGAUCUCGCUUUGCAUUGGGAACCAAAUAACCUGAAUGCCUUGGCAUUGUCUGAAAGGUUGAAGAAAGCGAUGGAGACGAAUGGCACGGUGGUGGAUGGUAUUGCAGCUCUUUUGCCUCCGGAUGCUGCAGUAGUUAGUUCAAAGAAGAAUAGGAAGAAGAAUCGAAAAGCAUAGGAGAAGACAUCUGAAGAACCUAUGAAAGGGGUGAAGUUAGUCGCAUCUGAGGGAGACCGUGGGUAAAAAAUUUCCGAACCUGAAGGCCGUCCUCCUCAAGUACAAGGAUAAGGAGGGUGAUUUCGUGACAAUCACGACGUCGGAAGAGCUAAGGUGGCUGAAGAAUCUGCAGACCCUCAAGGCUCGGUCAGGCUUUAUCUAACAGAAGUUAGUCCUGAGCAUGAACCUUGGCUGGAGGAUGUUAGAGGCGACAGAAUGAAGCACAACAUUUCAGAAAAUGGAAGCAUCCAAAAAGAGGAAGUGAAAACAUGACCUAGUUGCCUGGAUCUUAGGUUUGGCCUUCAAGAUCGAUGAGAUAGUUCAGGUGUUCCAUAUACGAUGAUAAAAAAUGGAUGAUUGAUGCCCCUUCUAUUCGUCGCGAGCCAUUGUUCCGUCGGAGAAUUCCUAAGUUGCAUAGUAUGUUGGAAAGUGCAUGUACUUGUUUUACCAGAAGCAGCCAGAAUUUGUGAGUAGUGAAGAUAAAAUGGUGGUGAUAGUUAUUUCUCUAUUGUCUGAGGUGCACACUAGUAAUAGGUUUUUUUAUUUGCUUGUUAUGUAGAUUUAUAUGUUGAUUGGUUAUAAUAGAUCAUUUGUAUUUAGACUUGUGGUUUAUGAACUAACUUGCUGCUCCCAUUUGGGCUCUC
This is a long non-coding RNA of Zingiber officinale, 1742 nucleotides long. RefSeq lists it as uncharacterized. The record is from RefSeq and is a predicted model, not a curated record. The transcript has 2 exons. Lineage: Eukaryota; Viridiplantae; Streptophyta; Magnoliopsida; Zingiberales; Zingiberaceae.